CUGGUGGCGAGUGGCGAACGGGUGAGUAACGCGUGGGGAUCUGCCCUGGAGUGGGGAACAACAGUUGGAAACGACUGCUAAUACCGCAUACGCCCUGAGGGGGAAAGGCUUCGGCCGCUCUUGGAUGAUCCCGCGUCUGAUUAGCUUGUUGGUGGGGUAACGGCCUACCAAGGCGACGAUCAGUAGCUGGUCUGAGAGGAUGAUCAGCCACACUGGGACUGAGACACGGCCCAGACUCC
RNAcentral lists this ribosomal RNA (239 nucleotides) under uncultured bacterium. Its description in RNAcentral is "partial 16S ribosomal RNA". It matches the Rfam family "Bacterial small subunit ribosomal RNA", at positions 85 to 339 of the family's 1533-position model. The record is from RNAcentral.